UGGACUAUAUGGAAGAGAGAAUGCCGGAAUGAGUAGCGAGAUAGAGGUGGGAAUCCUCUAGGCCGAAUAUCCAAGGUUUCCAGGGUAAAGCUGAUCUGCCCUGGGUGAGUCGGGACCUAAGGUGAGGGCGAGAGCCGUAGCCGAUGGACAACAGGUUGAUAUUCCUGUACUGCAGUAUAACAGAACUGUGGGGACAUGUAAGGAGAGCGGGAGCCGGGAAUGGAAAGCCCGGUACAAGCGAGGUACCAGUAUGGUAGGAAAAACCGCCAUGCAAUGGGAAGACGUGAUGUGGAGUGAAAUAUAGUAACGAAGCCCGUGAGCCAUGCGUCAAGAAAAGCCGCUAUUGUUUAUAUUGUACCCGUACCGUAAACCGACACAGGUGGAUGAGGAGAGAAUCCUAAGGCCGGCGGAAGAAGUAUUGCCAAGGAACUCGGCAAAAUGGCCCCGUAACUUAGGGAGAAGGGGUGCCUGCGAGAGCAGGCCGCAGAGAAUAGGCUCAAGCAACUGUUUAGCAAAAACACAGGUCUAUGCGAAACCGAAAGGUGAGGUAUAUGGGCUGACGCCUGCCCGGUGCUGGAAGGUUAAGAGGAGAGGUUAGACGCAAGUCGAAGCUUUGAAUUUAAGCCCCAGUAAACGGCGGCCGUAACAAUAACGGUCCUAAGGUAGCGAAAUUCCUUGUCGGGUAAGUUCCGACCCGCACGAAAGGCGUAAUGAUUUGAGCGCUGUCUCGGCAAUACAUCCGGUGAAAUUGAAGUGCCAGUGAAGAUGCUGGCUACCCGCGCCAGGACGGAAAGACCCCAUGGAGCUUUACUCCAGUUUGGCACUGGGGUCCGGUGUUGCAUGUACAGGAUAGGUGGGAGGCUGAGAGAUAGUGACGUCAGUUGCUAUGGAGCCGCUGUUGGGAUACCACCCUUGUGAUAUUGGGCUUCUAACCAGCCGCCGUGAACCGGCGGUGGGACAAUGCCAGGCGGGGAGUUUGACUGGGGCGGUCGCCUCCGAAAGGGUAUCGGAGGCGCCCAAAGGUUCCCUCAGAAUGGACGGAAACCAUUCGAAGAGUGCAAAGGCAGAAGGGAGCUUGACUGCGACACCGACGGGUGGGGCAGGUACGAAAGUAGGGCUUAGUGAUCCGGUGGUAUUAAGUGGGAAUGCCAUCGCUCAACGGAUAAAAGCUACCCUGGGAUAACAGGCUUAUCACUCCCAAGAGUUCACAUCGACGGAGUGGUUUGGCACCUCGAUGUCGGCUCAUCGCAUCCUGGGGCUGUAGUAGGUCCCAAGGGUUGGGCUGUUCGCCCAUUAAAGCGGUACGCGAGCUGGGUUCAGAACGUCGUGAGACAGUUCGGUCCCUAUCCGGCGUGGGCGUAGGAUAUCUGAGAGGAGCUGUCCUUAGUACGAGAGGACCGGGAUGGACGGGCCGCUGGUGGACCGGUUGGCUUGCCAAAGCCAUGGCCGGGUAGCCAAGUCCGGAAGGGAUAAACGCUGAAGGCAUCUAAGCGUGAAGCCCCCCUCAAGAUGAGAUAUCCCAUUCUUUAAGGAGUAAACCCCCUUGAAGACGACGAGGUAGAUAGGGCAGAGGUGGAAGUGUGGUAACACAUGGAGCUGACUGUUACUAAUCGGGUGAGGGCUUGACC
RNAcentral lists this ribosomal RNA (1628 nucleotides) under metagenome. Its description in RNAcentral is "bacterial LSU rRNA". It matches the Rfam family "Bacterial large subunit ribosomal RNA", at positions 1274 to 2925 of the family's 2925-position model. The record is from RNAcentral.